GGGCGUUUAGCUCAGCUGGGAGAGCAUCUGUUUGACGUACAGAAGGUCAUAGGUUCGAUCCCUAUAGCGCCCACCA
RNAcentral lists this transfer RNA (76 nucleotides) under Clostridium sp. RNAcentral's name for it is "tRNA-Val". It matches the Rfam family "tRNA". Rfam says of the family: Transfer RNA (tRNA) molecules are approximately 80 nucleotides in length. Their secondary structure includes four short double-helical elements and three loops (D, anti-codon, and T loops). The record is from RNAcentral. Lineage: Bacteria; Bacillati; Bacillota; Clostridia; Eubacteriales; Clostridiaceae. RNAcentral also lists the same sequence under 6 other names.